GACGAACGCUGGCGGCGUGCUUAACACAUGCAAGUCGAACGGAAAGGCCCUGCUUUUGUGGGGUGCUCUAGUGGCGAACGGGUGAGUUACACUUGAGUUACCUGCACUUGACUUUGGGAUAUCUUCAGGACACUGGGUCUAAUACCGCAUAGGAUUUCCUGCUGCUUGGUGGGGGUUGGUAAGUUUCGGCGGUUGGGGAUGGACUCGCGUCGUAUCAGCUUGUUGGUGGGGUAGUGGCUUACCAAGGCUGUGACGGGUAGCAGAGCUGAGCGGGUGACCGGCGAAGUCAGGACUGAGCUGAGACCCAGACUCCUACGGGAGGCAACGGUGGAGAAUAGUACACAGUAGGCGGAAGCCUGAUGCGGCAACGCCACGUGGGGGAUGACGGCCUUCGGGUAGUGAACCACUGUCGCCUGUGACGAAACGUGAGUGACGGUAAUGGGUAAAGAAGCACCGGCUAACUACGUG
Molecule: ribosomal RNA, 468 nt
Filed under: uncultured bacterium
Lineage: Bacteria
Description: partial 16S ribosomal RNA
Rfam family: Bacterial small subunit ribosomal RNA
Source: RNAcentral